Molecule: long non-coding RNA, 1848 nt
Organism: Platichthys flesus (European flounder)
Lineage: Eukaryota; Metazoa; Chordata; Actinopteri; Pleuronectiformes; Pleuronectidae
Exons: 3
Source: RefSeq, a predicted model, not a curated record
AACAGACAACCGCCACUGCAUGAACCACAUUUAAAUACAACUUUAUUCAGAUCUGCAGACUUUUAGUUUUUAUAUAUAUAUUUAUAUAUAUAUAUAUAUACAUGUAUAUUCUUGUUUUUGACAGUUAGUCACUAUUCUCUGCUGAGUGGACCGGUGUUGCCUUGCAGUCUCUAAGGCCAAAUAUCCACAUGUCCGUUGGCACUAGAUGGGUCAACAGUAAAGCUGCUGCAGUAACAACACAGUCCAUCCCACAGCAACAUGACUGUCUCUGAAACUUGGUCCAGCAGCCGGCCUGUAGCUGGCACUGGAGAGGUGGAGGAGUCUCAAUGAGAGUAUUGCUGUAAAUCUGGGGGGGAUUGGUAAGGAGCAGAGUAGGGGGCUUCUUUUCCACAGGUAGCCCAACAUGUGUCCUUGUUUCUGUUCGACAUGAGUUUAAUGCUGUUGGCUCCUGUUGCCCAGUUCUGAUCCCAACAUGUGUGAGUAUCCAACUUCUCUGUGGACACGCUGCAGGAGGUGGGAGGAGACGUGAAUCGAGGUUACUGGGGCGUUUCUGUGUCGGGCACUCGGUUGGCAUGCUCUUGAGGAGAAUUCAUGUCCUCGCAAUCCAAGGGCUUAUGCAAGACGCUUUGAACAGGAGAGAGGGAAAAAGCUAAACCAGCACAUCUUAAGACUGUGUCUGUGCACGCAUUUGUUUGAUGGGAUAUAGAUAUACAGAGAGAGAGAUAGAUAGAGAGGGAAGGGAGGGAGGGGUGUUUUCACAGCUGAUGUUCAGUUGGCUUGGCGUUAAGCUCACGGAGAUUAGCUAGCUUAGCUCAACGCUGUGUGCAGGAGGGCAGGCGGGGCAGCAAUGAAGAACUACCCACUGCAGGGUUCAACGCCAGGGUAUGGGGGCUAGAGAGGGUAUGGAGGCUGAGGCUGCAGCCGGAAGAGGGUCACACACACACAAGAAGAGGACAAGAUGGCUGAGCAACAUGCAGACGUCUGGAGCAGGAAGGGGCAGAGGUAUGGAGGUGGUGUUUCUGCCUAGCCGGGGAUGUAUCUGGGCGGACAAGGUCAGCGACCCGGUGAGGAGGACAGAUCAGUGGAAACCGCUCCAAACAAAUCCACAGUGCUUGUGUUCAGUCACUUACAACCGCUGUCUGUCAGACCUCAAGUCGCCAAACAGGCCCGAUACUCGAGCACCUCCGGAGUAUGAAAUCCACAAGGUCAUCCCAGAGGAGACGCCGACACAACCGGCUGCAUCAAACAGCCAUUCAACCUCCCAUGAAGAUUUCCACUGUUUCUUUUCUUUUAUUUUGUUUGGAGCCUGCUCAUUUCCUGGGCCCUGUGAUGAGCGAGCUGCUCAUCCCAGGGCUUUGGGGGUGGAUGGAUGUUUUCAAGUUCCCUCAUGUGAAUCCAGAGCAGAUUUCUCAUUAAAGGCUGCUCUUUAAUAAAUCUCCGAGCUACAUGAAAGAGGAGUGGAUGAGCCAAAUUUGAUUGUCAGGUUGUUGGACAGAGGCGGUUGAUGUUUACACAUCUGGUGGAGCAGGUCAGCGAGGAGCCCUCCUCCGGGUAAAAUAUACACGGAAAAGUUGUAGUGCUUGAUUUUUUUUUCUCCUGUUAAUUAGCUCAGUUAGAAAACAGAGGGCGGUGAUGAGAGGUUUUCUCCCUACUUACAGAUUUAACUCUGUUUUUAAUUAUAUCAGACACGAAGGUAAGAUUAGUUGUUAUGUGCAAACAGUCUAAACGUGGUUGAAAAGUGAAAUGUAGUAACUGCUGUUAUUACCUGGUGCGAUGAAAUAAAUAUGAACUGACUCGACUUCAUUCCUCAGGGAACGGACACGUUUGUCUCCUUUUUCUGUGAUGGAA